Long non-coding RNA from Chinchilla lanigera (long-tailed chinchilla), 2092 nucleotides. The record is from Ensembl. Lineage: Eukaryota; Metazoa; Chordata; Mammalia; Rodentia; Chinchillidae.
CUUCCGUCUCCAUGGGAACUUCGGUCGGCCAAACACUGGGCCCCAGCAACAGGCUUCUGAUUGGCCCGAUGCCUCUAAAGGCGGGGCUUCGUCUCCUUGCCCGGUCUGUGUGUUGCUGUUUUGGUGGUUGUCUCUGGCUUGUUUAUUUUUCUAACAGAUCUUGGAGGCUGAGGUCUAGAUCCGUCGCCAAGGAUGAAAUCUAGGAGAAACGUGCUCAACGUGCAGCUUGCUCCUGCUGAUUACAGUUCAACAGAUGACAUAAUUUCACUGUGUCCAAGUCUAUUGCGGGAGUCGCGAGUUUCGUGCCUGGCUUUGUCACAGCCCAAUAUUUGGAAUACAGAGUGUCAUGGUCUCCGAAAGCCAAUAUACUUGGGUUACACCAAGAAAGGAGCGAUGAAGCGAUAUUUAUACUGUGCGCUGAAGCGGGCUGAACAGCUGGAAGAGGUGACUGAGAGCAUUUUCCCACUGUGGAUGAGGAAAAGGGAAGGAAGGCGGACAGUGACAGGCUCUGGAAGCACCGAGAUUUGACUCUAACCAGCAAGAUUUAUGACCCUACCUCCAGGCCACUGAUUAUAAACUCUAGGGUUCUAUGUUUCAGUUCUUGUCUUUUUGUCAAACCCAAACAAAGCUGGGCACGGUGGCGCAGGCCUGUGAUCACAGCAUUUGGGAGGCUGAGGCAGGAGGACUGCUGUGAGUUUGAGGCCAGCCUGGGCUACAUAAUUGAGUUCAAGGCCAGCCUACACUACCUAACGAGAAGUCUCAAAAAGAAAAAAAAAAAAAAUCUUACCCUAUGGUGUGCGACUCAGAAAAUUUCCAGGAAACACCAAAUGGAUUGUAGUUUAAUGGCAUCAUAAAGAGCCGUUUUUUCUGUGUGCUCUCCCCCUCUCUCCUGUGUUUUGGCCCAGCUGCUUUGUUUUGCUGACCAAAUUCAACAUAAGGACAGGGAUGUCCUUCUGUGCUGUUGACUUCUUAAACCACAAGACGAUCUCUCAAGCCUAUUUCCCCCAUUGGUAAAAUGGGCUCUGGAGAAUUCAUUGACCCUGCAUCUGCUUUGACUCAAGAAGACUAUAAUUGUACUGUGAUUAUUAGGAAAUGCCACCUGCUGUAUAAAUAUUGGAUUCUUUUUGUUUUUUGAGACAGGGUCUUGAUACAUAGCUUAGGCUGGCCUUAAACUCAAGGAAAACCUCUUGCCUCAGCCUCCCGAGAGUGCUGAGAUUACAAGUGUGUGCCACCAUGCCUGGCAUAAAUGUUCAAUUCUUAUUAAUCUCUCCUGCCUGUACCUCUGCAUCUUAGUGCCAUAGCAAAGAGGCCUUGGCACAGGCCAGGAUGUGUACGAAGAGUGACUUACCCUAUCUUUCAAGCCCCCCGUGUACCCUGUACCUCUUCCACACCCCAGCCAUGAUGAAAGGAAAGGCAUGCUCCUCACAUCCGGCUUUCCUCAGGUGUAAAAGUGGUCACGUCACUUCCUGCCCUACUUCCCAGGGUUAGUGUGCCAGUCACGCGACGUGCACAACAUUUUCGGGAGGCUUUGAAUACCAUAAAGCAGAGGACUUUUUCAAAUUUAAAGAUUUUUUGCAAGAUGAGGAGACCUGAAAAUGCAGCAAAGUCAGAGUGGACUGGACAGGCGGGGUUCAAAGCUGGACUGGACGGACGCCCGCUUCUAGCUGAUGCGCCCCUCACUGUCCCUAAAACUGUCCCUAAAAUUCCACUUUCAGCAAUAGUUUCUUUCGAGGUAAGCAUCUGACAUUCCCUUCAGGUCUGCUUUAAAAUUAAAAGUCUUGAGUAGUGAAACCCUGCCUUUAAACAAAUAAAUAAGUAUUCUCUUGUGAUCAGGAAGCCCCUAAAGUUUCACGUAAAUUCGGUCAGCGGACACGUUCCCACCCCACCCCGGCGAGACGGCGCCACGCAGGCGCAGUGGGCUCUUACGCAGGCCUGAAAGGGUGCUGGAAGCCCAGAAGUUUUCAUCCUCAAGCCACCUUCGCAGUGUGCCUGCUGCUGAGCAAAGGUGCCCGAUCGCUCCACUCAGAAAUGACCAGGGGGAUCUUUUCUCACCGCGUUUACUCGCAGCCUCCCAAACAGCACUGCACAGUCA